Long non-coding RNA from Pocillopora damicornis (cauliflower coral), 1323 nucleotides. The record is from RefSeq and is a predicted model, not a curated record. NCBI's taxonomy places the organism in Eukaryota, Metazoa, Cnidaria, Anthozoa, Scleractinia, Pocilloporidae.
UCACAGGUUGAACAUUAUUGUUCUACAGCAGAUGUUCCGUCAUUAACAUCUCUUGCCUAGAGUACAUCUAAAGCUUCUGAGAGAAGCCUUGUGCAACACCGAUGGUCACAUGCUGUCAAGUGACGAUUGAGGAAAGGGAGAAAUCAAUGGUGUGCACGGAGACAGCUGAAGUCACUGUUCAGCUGCAUACCUUCUGAAAAUGCACUGGGGGACAAGUUUAAAGGCAAACGUCAAGGCUUGUUAUGUAGUGAUAUUACGUGCAGUUAGUUAGAGCUAAUAAUUUGAAGAGGGUAAGCUAGAAAUGAGGAUUUUAAAAAAUCAACAAAUUGAGGGGUGAAGGUAAUAUGCUUAGCCCAUGUAGCUAAAAAUAACAUUGACUUCCAUUCAUUUGACACUGCUGCAUACAGGUUCUUGCUGUUAUAUUUUAAUAGUAGUUAUUGUUAGGGUUUGCAACAGUUGUUCCUUUGAUUUGAUCUUAAGUGGUGCCAAGAAACUGGCAAGCAAGUCCAAUUGGAGCUAUCAGACCUUGCAAAGGAAAAAGCAAGAAUGUUAAGUACAUCUAUACAGAUAAAAACCUCAUUUACUUUAAGUCGUGGUUAAAGGAAGCAUUGUCAUGUCCCUCCUUAUUCAUGGUACAACUAUGCUAGUCUUGGAAAUGGGUUAUGGAACUUGCGUGGAUGGUAGAUAGUUUGACACCUAAAGAGUACUUUUGAACUAGUGGAGUGGAAAGCUCAGAGCCAGUAUUAGUAGUUAUCUUGUUGUUCUCCAAAAGAAUGGACAGACAUCCCACUUCCUUGUUUCAUCACUAUGAAGUGUCUUGAAUCCGAGAUCAGUGUGUGUGUGUAGAUGGAUGUUGUGUUGCAGAGUGUUUUGCAGGCAUUUCAAUUCGUAGUUCAGCAACUGGAAUCAGAACAUCAGGUAUUUCUGUUAUCCAAUCGUCUUUUGUCCACUCAUAAGAUAUUCACAGUAGAUCAAAAGAAGUAUGCGUUUUUUGUAAUUGCAGUAGUGUUUUGGGCAGGGUGUUGUUUGUUUCUCUAUUAUUAUGCAGUCAAGUAGACUUGGCAAUACAAGCCAGAGAGAAUGAUCCCAGAGGGUCAUCAGCAAUUGGUAGAUCAUUGGCAUAUCAGUGGAAACUGGAUUCAAGCAAUGUAAGCUGACAAAAAUGAAUUUAUCACAAUUCCUGCAUUAGAUUAGUAUCAUCAAUGUGCCUGGUUUGCUACUUCAGCACCAAAACUGCACCUAUCAUGGACAGAUUUAACACAUCCCUGGGUGUUAUGUAUGGUGAUCAGUGCAAAUAAAGUUUACCAAGGAUUGUAUUUGCCA